Molecule: long non-coding RNA, 387 nt
Filed under: Gossypium barbadense (sea-island cotton)
Lineage: Eukaryota; Viridiplantae; Streptophyta; Magnoliopsida; Malvales; Malvaceae
Description: long non-coding RNA (GBAR_LNC016871)
Source: RNAcentral
CCUCCCCAUCAUUCGUUGCCACCGCCCAUCACACUUCCUCCCUAACCACUCUCUUUUUCUGAAGUAAGGAGUCCUUGUUUUUCAAAAUAAUAACUUUGGCUUAGGGGUUGCCCCUUGGCUCCUCCUACAGCUAUGAAAAACACUUUCGAUCUCAAAAUCUAUCUAAUUGGCAUUACUUAGACUUAAAGGUGGGUUCGGAUGGGCGAUUGGGUGCGAUGUGUUUAGUUUACUUUUUGUGUCACAUUAUAGUAUCGCUAUAGUAUCUAAUUUCACCGCCACCGCUGUUUUUACACUAACCGUAGAUAAACACACUGCCCAUCUAAACUUACCCUUAAAUACUUUUGAACAUAGACUAAGGGCCAUUCAGCCUCCAUUUUUUUCCAUCUG